This 216-nucleotide unclassified non-coding RNA is filed under the name Hevea brasiliensis (rubber tree). The record is from RNAcentral. Lineage: Eukaryota; Viridiplantae; Streptophyta; Magnoliopsida; Malpighiales; Euphorbiaceae.
AGAAUCUCCAAACCAUUUGAGUACAACAAAUUUUCAACCAUCAUCAUAUACCCAUCCAAUUCAUAAGUUGAAGACAUAUUUUGACUAGUACUUUACUCUAAGCAUUCCCUCUUUUUAUAUUGGUCUUAGAAGUAAGUAGAUGUUUUUAUUUUUUUCACACCAAUACAAUAAAAUUUGGCUUCCAUGAUACCUUAAAAAGAAAUAUAACUGCAUGGU